This 450-nucleotide ribosomal RNA is filed under the name uncultured Glomeromycotina. RNAcentral describes it as "SSU rRNA". It matches the Rfam family "Eukaryotic small subunit ribosomal RNA", at positions 569 to 1024 of the family's 1831-position model. Lineage: Eukaryota; Fungi; Glomeromycota. The record is from RNAcentral.
AGCAGCCGCGGUAAUUCCAGCUCCAAUAGCGUAUAUUAAAGUUGUUGCAGUUAAAAAGCUCGUAGUUGAAUUUCGGGAUCGACGGGUCGGUCGCGCCUCCGGUGUGUACUGGCCCUGUCGGUUUCUCCCUUCUGACGAACUGCGAUGUCAUUAAUUUGGUGUCGUAGGGAAUCAGGACUGUUACUUUGAAAAAUUAGAGUGUUUAAAGCAGGCACACGCUUGAACACAUUAGCAUGGAAUAAUGAAAUAGGACGUUUUGAUCUUAUUUUGUUGGUUUCUAAGAUCGACGUAAUGAUUAAUAGGGAUAGUUGGGGGCAUUAGUAUUCAAUUGUCAGAGGUGAAAUUCUUGGAUUUAUUGAAGACUAACUACUGCGAAAGCAUUUGCCAAGGAUGUUUUCAUUAAUCAAGAACGAAGUUAGGGGAUCGAAGACGAUCAGAUACCGUCGUAGU